RNAcentral lists this ribosomal RNA (491 nucleotides) under uncultured bacterium. RNAcentral describes it as "partial 16S ribosomal RNA". It matches the Rfam family "Bacterial small subunit ribosomal RNA", at positions 29 to 506 of the family's 1533-position model. The record is from RNAcentral.
AGUGAACGCUGGCGGUAGGCCUAACACAUGCAAGUCGAACGGCAGCACAGUAAGAGCUUGCUCUUACGGGUGGCGAGUGGCGGACGGGUGAGGAAUACAUCGGAAUCUACUUUUUCGUGGGGGAUAACGUAGGGAAACUUACGCUAAUACCGCAUACGACCUACGGGUGAAAGCAGGGGAUCUUCGGACCUUGCGCGAUUGAAUGAGCCGAUGUCGGAUUAGCUAGUUGGCGGGGUAAAGGCCCACCAAGGCGACGAUCCGUAGCUGGUCUGAGAGGAUGAUCAGCAACACGGGAGUUAAGACAAGACCCAGGUCCCAACGUGAGCCACAAAGGGGUAAUAUGGGAAAAAGGGCGAAAGCUUGUACCACCCUGUCGGCGGAGAUGAAGAAGUCCUGCGCCUUGUAAAGCCCUUUUGUUGGUAAAGAAAAGAAGCAGAUUAACACCCCGCUGUUCGGCCGUAACCAAAAGAAGAAGCACCGGCCAACUCCUG